This 73-nucleotide transfer RNA is filed under the name Capra hircus (goat). It matches the Rfam family "tRNA". From Rfam's summary of the family: Transfer RNA (tRNA) molecules are approximately 80 nucleotides in length. Their secondary structure includes four short double-helical elements and three loops (D, anti-codon, and T loops). RNAcentral also lists the same sequence under 1 other name. The record is from Rfam by way of RNAcentral. Lineage: Eukaryota; Metazoa; Chordata; Mammalia; Artiodactyla; Bovidae.
UCCCUGAGGGUUUAGUGGUUAAGACUCCAUGCUGCCAAUGCAGGGGGUGCAGGUUCAAUCCCUGGUCAGGGAA